AUGAGAGCAAGUUUUUCAAAAUGUCACUUAGGUAAAGUGAAAGUUCACACAUUGAGACACACAAAUAUCAUCUUUUGAGGACCGUGGACAGCCUCAGCUUCAUCAUGGCAGGACGCCUGCUGUUUGUCUUCCUCAUGUCUCUUCUUCCACCUAAUAGCGUCACCAGCUGUGAUUACAGUUUGGGAAGUGAACCAAACUCUUUGUCUCCUCGUAGUGAUGGAUACAGCUUGACUGAGAAGAUGACGUUGAUGAUUGGAGCAGUCGUGACUGUGGGAGUCGUCUUGCUCGGA
This is a long non-coding RNA of Cottoperca gobio, 290 nucleotides long. RefSeq lists it as uncharacterized. The transcript has 3 exons. The record is from RefSeq and is a predicted model, not a curated record. NCBI's taxonomy places the organism in Eukaryota, Metazoa, Chordata, Actinopteri, Perciformes, Bovichtidae.